Molecule: ribosomal RNA, 736 nt
Filed under: Bacillus sp. (in: firmicutes)
Lineage: Bacteria; Bacillati; Bacillota; Bacilli; Caryophanales; Bacillaceae
Description: bacterial SSU rRNA
Rfam family: Bacterial small subunit ribosomal RNA
Source: RNAcentral
UCCUGGCUCAGGACGAACGCUGGCGGCGUGCCUAAUACAUGCAAGUCGAGCGGACAGAUGGGAGCUUGCUCCCUGAUGUUAGCGGCGGACGGGUGAGUAACACGUGGGUAACCUGCCUGUAAGACUGGGAUAACUCCGGGAAACCGGGGCUAAUACCGGAUGCUUGAUUGAACCGCAUGGUUCAAUUAUAAAAGGUGGCUUUUAGCUACCACUUACAGAUGGACCCGCGGCGCAUUAGCUAGUUGGUGAGGUAACGGCUCACCAAGGCGACGAUGCGUAGCCGACCUGAGAGGGUGAUCGGCCACACUGGGACUGAGACACGGCCCAGACUCCUACGGGAGGCAGCAGUAGGGAAUCUUCCGCAAUGGACGAAAGUCUGACGGAGCAACGCCGCGUGAGUGAUGAAGGUUUUCGGAUCGUAAAACUCUGUUGUUAGGGAAGAACAAGUACCGUUCGAAUAGGGCGGUACCUUGACGGUACCUAACCAGAAAGCCACGGCUAACUACGUGCCAGCAGCCGCGGUAAUACGUAGGUGGCAAGCGUUGUCCGGAAUUAUUGGGCGUAAAGCGCGCGCAGGCGGUUUCUUAAGUCUGAUGUGAAAGCCCCCGGCUCAACCGGGGAGGGUCAUUGGAAACUGGGGAACUUGAGUGCAGAAGAGGAGAGUGGAAUUCCACGUGUAGCGGUGAAAUGCGUAGAGAUGUGGAGGAACACCAGUGGCGAAGGCGACUCUCUGGUC